This 774-nucleotide ribosomal RNA is filed under the name uncultured bacterium. Its description in RNAcentral is "bacterial SSU rRNA". It matches the Rfam family "Bacterial small subunit ribosomal RNA", at positions 8 to 796 of the family's 1533-position model. The record is from RNAcentral.
AGAGUUUGAUCAUGGCUCAGGACGAACGCUGGCGGCGUGCUUAACACAUGCAAGUCGAGCGAGGCCCUCCCUUCGGGGAGGUGUCCUAGCGGCGAACGGGUGAGUAACACGUGGGCAACCUGCCCUCCGCUCUGGGAUAACUCCGGGAAACCGGGGCUAAUACCGGAUAUGACCUCGGAAGACAUCUUCUGAGGUGGAAAGAAUUUCGGCGGAGGAUGGGCCCGCGGCCUAUCAGCUUGUUGGUGGGGUAACGGCCCACCAAGGCGACGACGGGUAGCCGGCCUGAGAGGGCGACCGGCCACACUGGGACUGAGACACGGCCCAGACUCCUACGGGAGGCAGCAGUGGGGAAUAUUGCGCAAUGGGCGAAAAGCCUGACGCAGCGACGCCGCGUGAGGGAUGACGGCCUUCGGGUUGUAAACCUCUUUCAGCAGGGACGAAGCGAAAGUGACGGUACCUGCAGAAGAAGCACCGGCCAACUACGUGCCAGCAGCCGCGGUAAUACGUAGGGUGCAAGCGUUGUCCGGAAUUAUUGGGCGUAAAGAGCUCGUAGGCGGUCUGUCGCGUCGGCUGUGAAAACCCGGGGCUCAACCCCGGGCCUGCAGUCGAUACGGGCAGACUAGAGUGCGGUAGGGGAGACUGGAAUUCCUGGUGUAGCGGUGAAAUGCGCGAUAUCAGGAGGAACACCGGUGGCGAAGGCGGGUCUCUGGGCCGUAACUGACGCUGAGGAGCGAAAGCGUGGGGAGCGAACAGGAUUAGAUACCCUAGUAGUCC